UGUGGCCCCCCUUCGUGGUCGGUAUACAGGUGGUGCAUGGCUGUCGUCAGCUCGUGUCGUGAGAUGUUGGGUUAAGUCCCGGCAACGAGCGCAACCCCUAUCUUAUGUUGCCAGCACGUUAUGGUGGGGACUCGUAAGAGACUGCCGGGGUCAACUCGGAGGAAGGUGGGGACGACGUCAAGUCAUCAUGCCCCUUAUGUCCAGGGCUUCACACAUGCUACAAUGGCCAGUACAGAGGGCUGCGAGACCGUGAGGUGGAGCGAAUCCCUUAAAGCUGGUCUCAGUUCGGAUCGGGGUCUGCAACUCGACCCCGUGAAGUCGGAGUCGCUAGUAAUCGCAGAUCAGCAACGCUGCGGUGAAUACGUUCCCGGGCCUU
This 376-nucleotide ribosomal RNA is filed under the name uncultured Rhodococcus sp. Its description in RNAcentral is "bacterial SSU rRNA". It matches the Rfam family "Bacterial small subunit ribosomal RNA", at positions 1009 to 1382 of the family's 1533-position model. Lineage: Bacteria; Bacillati; Actinomycetota; Actinomycetes; Mycobacteriales; Nocardiaceae. The record is from RNAcentral.